GGAACUAACUAAACUUUGUGCUUACAGUUUUCAAUUUAUGUUUAAGGUACUUACAGUUCCAAGCGGAAGAGUUCGGGAUGACUGCAUCGCACACACCACAUGGUUUCUCUUUUGAGAUAUUACUCAAAUUGAUAUGAUGUUUGAUACACUUAUUUUCACUUGGGUUGUAUGGAUAAUGUUUCGGAAUAUUUAUUAAAUUAAAAAUGAAAUUUUUGGAUCACAUUUUUGGGACGUUACAGCAUAGAUAUGUUUUCAUUGAUGCAAAAUAUACAUUUGAGUGGGGUUUUGAACUAUUUUAUAAAUCUACAACAUAUGUAUAAUCAUGAAUAAACCUAUCACAUUUGAUGUGUAACAAAAAAGAACAUAAUGCCCAUUCCUUCUACGCUCAAGAAAGAACAUGGUAUAAAUUUCAUAGCAGUUAAUAUUACACCAGCAACCUAUUGGAUUAGUGUCUAAGUCCAUAACUAUUUUGGUAUGUACUUGACCCGAUGGUGCAUGAUCCUUUUGGGUUGCCUUCACCAAAGCAACUUGAUAGGAUGAAUUAUGGAGAGAAAUGAUUAAAUAUGAUUUAUUAAUAUAUUAUGGGAAUAAUAUAUUAAAGGAGAAAUCAUAUUGUUUAAUUAAUAUUAGUCAAUAAUUAAUUGGUAAUUAGUUUUGUGACUAAAAGAGAUUAAUUAAACUUAAGGGACUGGAGUUGUAAUUAUAAGAUAAUUGCAAUUUGGGCCAUGGAUUGUCUUGAAUCAAGGGGUGGACGAAUUCUAAUGGGAAACCCAUAAGGAAAUUGUCCAAGGGCUUGAUUAAAGGAGUCCAUGGGUUGCUUAGGGCUUAAGCAUCCAAAUUAGGGUUUCCUUGUUAGAUAACCCUAAUUGCCUCACUAUAUAUAGAUCCCUUAAGGACCAAAAACGUGGACAAGCUUCUUACUAGGGUUAGAACACGUUUUGGGCAGCCUCCAUCCUCUCUCCUCUUCAUCCUCUUGCUUAUGGUGUUUGUGAACCAUUAGAGGAGUGACACUUGUGACUCUAAGCCUUCCAAAGUCAAUACAAGGAGAUUUGGGAUUGUUAUUGCUACAUAACAAUCAAGGUAAUAUUAUAAAUCUAUUCUCAUGUUAAUAUGAUUACUUGUAUGCUAGAAUUAGGGUUUAUAGUCUUGGAUAACUUGCAUGUACAAUAGAGAAACCUAGAUCCAAACAUUAGGGUUUGUAUGAGCACAUAGGAUGUCUUAUGACCAAAACCCAUCAGUGGUAUCAGAGCCUAGAUUGGUUUCAAUUGUAUUGAUGCAUUACAUGUUUAAAAAAUUCGUUUUUUGGUGUUCUGGAGGCUGGACUCGCCGAGUCCAUAGAUGAACUCGUCGAAUCCAUGCAGACUCGACGAGUCUAAGCUUGACUCAACGAGUCAACUCGUCAGAUGGGGAUAUCUUCGCGAUUUCUUGCUGUUUUUGCUUAUGGAUAGUUACUAUAUCAUAUUAGAUCAAUAUAAAUCCGAUUUUAUGAUAUAUUUGACUAUAUUCUUGAUCUAAUUGAAGAUAUUUAUCAAUUAAUAAGAUAAUUGUUUCCUUAUGUGAUAAUUGAUUAAUUAUUUUGACUAAAUUGAUAAAUUGUUUUGCAAGAAAUCAUUAAAUAAAUCAAAUAUGGAUAAUUAUGUGAUUAAAUGUUAAUUUAGAUUAUUUGUUAUUUGAUCCUUAUGUUAUGAAAUGUUUCAUAUUUUCCCCUUUAGGUUUUAUAGUUUAAAUUUGAACCCAAAAGUUUUGUUGUUUUGAAAUUUAAAUAGUUAAAACCCUAAUGUUUUGAAAAAGGUUUCAAAACUUGCCCUCAAGUUUUGGAAUUUAAAUUUUGAUUAAAAGUUUAAUUUUGAUGUAUAUUUAAAUUCUAAACCCUAAUGUUUUGAAAUGUUUCAAAACUUGCCCUCAAGUUUUGGAAUUUAAAAGUUGAUUAAAAGUUUAAUUAGGAAUGUUAAAUUCUAAAACUCUAGUAUAGUUUUGAAAAAGUUCAAAUCACACCCUUAUGGUUUUAUUAAUUAAUUAAGGUGUAUAAUUAAAAGAGGUUUAAUAAAUCCAUAAAAGUUUAGGUUUACAAUUUAAUUGAAUUAAAAGUAUAAUUGUUAAAUUAGACCACCUAGUAUUUUAAAAGUGUAAAAUACACCCUAUACUAUAUAUAACAUUAAAAGUCUAACAUUAUAUAUAUGUAUGAGUAAAAGUCAGUCUUACCGUUAGUAGGCCUCAUUCACGAAGCUGGUCUAUAAGGGGUGUUUAAGGAAAUUGCCUAUAAAAUGGCGAUUGAAUGGGUAUCCACUCUUACCCACCGCACUCUUGACUAGUGGAGGGUCGUUAGCCGAACGGGUAGGAUAGGACGAAACCUUCCAUUAUAAGUAUAAUGAAUUAUUAAAGUAACUAAAUGUUUUCAUAAAAUUCCCAAUCUUAGUUACUUAGGCAAAAGUGAAUUGAUGCAAUUCCAUGAAAUUACACUUUGUGCCCUUGCGAAGACGUUAGUGGAGCGUGUGUGGUUUACCGGCACACUAAAUGGUUCUAAGCAAAGGUAGCAAAGGGUGACUCAAUGUUUGUCAUAGUUCGGUGGAGCGUGUGUGGUUUACCGGCACAUCGAAUAGGUGACUGUAACAUGUGAGGGCACCAUGUAAGUUUGCAUGGUUAUUCACACCCGCUUUGUGAUCCUCGGCAUCCCAGUCACAAACAAGAGGGGCAUAUCGAGAUUUAAACAUGCCAUUGAAAGUUCAAUGAAUCUCAAAGGAUCUAGGAGUUUUCAUAGAUUUAAAACUUAAAUUUCUUUUUCGUUUUUCAUGGUGGAAAUUAGUGAAUCGUCAUUCACUUACCUUCAAAUAUUCUGCAAUUAGGGUUACGGCAUCCCUCUCCCGAGUUGUAGAAUAUUGUGUUGGGUCCUAGCCUUAGUAUCUCAUUUGGGUGAUUUACUAAGGACUCAAUCAAUCAACUAACUUGAAUUCGUUUUCUCCCGUUUUGUAGAUGUCAAAGUUCGACAACUAUGGUCUUCCCAAAUCCCGUGGAACAAGCAUUCCACAUGAAGAUGAUAUUCCACGAUUCGAUCGAGGAACAAGAAAUCAUGCUUCACUUCCUCCUCCUCCUCCAAUUAUUCUCCCUAACCCACAAGUUCAAAGGCUUGAAAAGUUCAAGAUCACUCAAGCCCUUUUGGCAAGUAAACAUAAAGAAGGAAAGUCGGUGUGUGCACACGUCCUAGGGAUGAAGUCACACAUUGAUAGGUUAAGAAUGUUGGGAUCCGUUGUCUGUGAGGAAAUGGCUGUUGAUUGGGUUCUUCAGUCACUUCCUAACUCAUAUAGUGAGUUCGUAAGAGAGUACUAUAUGAUGAACCGCGACGUGACCCUUAUAGAUCUCACCUAUAUGCUUAUUGCUGCUGAAUCAGCAAUGGUUUGGCGCAAUAGAAAAGCAAAGUUGAUUGGUGAAUCUGCCUUCAAGACCUCUAUGGAUAUAGACAAUGGCAACGAAAGACAUGCUAUGAUCGAAAAGUUUGAUCAUAAGAGAAAGGCAAUGUCUGAAGUAGUUCCAUGUCAUGUUCCAAAAGAGUCAAUUUGCUUUUAUUGCCAAGAGAAAGGGCAUUGGAGACGAAGCUGCCCCAUUUACCUAAGAGAUCUAAGAGAUGGGAGAGUCGAAACGUAUGGCUCUAAUAUAGGUAAAAUCCAUUAACUAACUCUUUUAAGCUUCUAUUCUAGAUUCUUAAUACAUAAUGUGAUAAGAUUACAAUUGAUGUUUUGUAGGAUCGAAGAAAAGAAAGGAAGCUUAAGGGAAGAAGUGAGCAGAAUCUAACCGUGAAGGAAUGGAUUUCGAUCGCAUUUCUCGAAGAUUAGAUUCUUGAGCUACUACUUAGAGUUAGAAUUAGAUUGCUAAGAAAGAUGUAUUAGCAUAGUUUUUCAAUGAAUUGCAUUGUAAGGACAAAUUUUUUCCGCAAUAAAAUAAAUUUUGAUUUUAUAUUAUUUAUUUAUCCUUGCAAUGGCGUAUAUGAAAAAUUGAUGUUUGAAUGUUUCUAUUAUUAGCAAUAAUGGAUUUGGUUCUUAUUAUGUUAUUUAUGGAAAGUCGAGAGUUUACCAAAUAGGGAGAGUUUCUCAUCGCCCAAGUUUCAAUUGGACAGAAACUUGGAAUCAUGCAACUUGGUUGCACGAUGAAUGAGAAAUUUCAUAUUUGGAAAUUAGACUAAUUCAUUGACAAAGUGUCAAGUGAAGGACUAGGAGAUCGAGUACACAAAGUUGCGUGUUGAUCAAGUCCACCAUAAGAGUAACAAAGAUAUUCGUCAUGAUUUACUAAAGGUUUAGUAAAUAUGAUUAUACUUACAAGAUUAAGUGUAAUUCUGAAUUGAUUGAAAAAGUUUAAAUCAAUAGCAGAACGAAUAAGAAGAAUCAAGUAGGCAGAAAGAUAAAAGUUUCUCCAUUCUAAGAAGAAGGGAGAGUAGCUUUUAUGCUUUAUGAUAGGUCUUAAUGAUUAAGAACCAUAUCUCAAUUGAUCCUCUAAGUGAGUCUUAGUACAAUUGUAUGUCUAAGAAGAGGAAUCAAGAAUUGAAGAAAUGGUUAAAUCAAGAAGUCAAUCAUACUUCGUUCCAAAACAAGUCUUAGAGUUAAGAUUGUGACAUUGAGUGAAAAGUAUUAAGAAGGUUUAUAACAUUCAUCAAAUGUGGAAAGUUGUGAUGUCUUGGAUAAGACAAAGACCAACUAGGACCAAUUUAUGAAGUGUUUUGAUAAAAGCUACACUAACUCUUGAAUAUUUGUUUGUCAAGAAAUGUUUAUUGACAAGAGAAUCUUAUAUGUCAAGGAGUCAGUGGGAGUCUUAAUGGUCUUGAAAGGUUUCAAGAACAAAUCAAAUAAACCUUAUCGAUCAUCACUAGCACACGAGUUGAGGUUUACAACCUAUCGUGUUGACAUUAUUUUGUUUCUGUGCCAAUCCAAUCGAGUUAAUUAUGCAUGUGAGUUCUAUGAGUUCUCAUUUGAAACGCAUAAAAGGCAAAGCACCUUAAUCAAUGAAAGGUACAUUGAUAGGAAAGGGUGAGCUGCUUAACUACUUGGAAGACAUGGUGGGCAGCUGUGCUACCAUAAGGCAAGAAAUCAAGAUUAAGAAAGUUCGGUCCAUAUGAGUUUGAAUUUGUCGUAAACUUUGGUUUUAACAAAUUCACAUGGAUAGGAACACAUACACCGUUUAAAUCUAAGUGUCAUAAGAUUUCCUCCUUCAUGAAAAUGAUUGUGAGGAAAUGCUUUCACUAAGAAAGAUUUUAAGAAGAUAGUGAUUGUAAAAUUGCAUUCUCGAAUUCGAUUAUGGUUACGGUAUCCCUUUCCAUAAUUUGAAUUGUGAGGUUUGGCAAUUAGUCUUAAUUGUUUAGACACACAUAUGAACUAUCGAAGGCAAAGGUGUAUAAGUUCAAGAAGCCUUGAUAAAAGAUUAUCAAAGCACUAAGUAUUAGAAACAUGAACUUAAGAAAUUCAAUAAGUAUUGUUUUUCUGAAAGUUAAGAUGUUUAUGAAUACAUGUCGAAGCUAGUGGGAGCAUAAGUGUUAUGUUUUAUAAUAAUCAUCAUGAUAGUGGGAGCAUAAAUGUUAUGAUUGUAUGAUUAUUAAGGCACGUAUUGCAAGUUGGCAAUAUUAAUUAUAGAAAACAAGAGUUAUACCUUGCAAAGUCGUAAGGGUUGUAAAGUUGUUUUGCUAUAAUUAAGGGAGAGAAUAUUAUGCUUCAUUUCAAAUCUAAAGGCUUAGGUUGAGAAAUGUUAAUAAAUUUAGUCAAAGGUACAUAGUGUGUUCUUAAAAUUUCGAUUAUGAUUACGGCAUUCCUCUUCACAAUUCGAAUUUUGAGAACAUAGCAAAUAAAACAUUAUGCGUCGUGUCCCAUACGCUUCGGGUAUAGGAUCGAUUGCAAAUGCUUUAAUGUUUGACCAUUCUAAAAUUUUCCAAAUGUCGAGCGCAUUUAGAGGGAAAAGGGACUAGAAUUGGUUUUGACUAAAAUAAUUAAACAACUAUCAAAGGACAAUCCAAAGUUCGACGAGGAUUGGUCGCUUGUGAGUAGUUGGAAGCAUGGUAUUGGAUGGACCAUAUCGACAUUAUUAUGAAUAGAAAAGAUUCUAUUAAGAAUGAGUUGUCAUAUGGAAAUUAUGGAAAUGUUUCCAUAUUGGAUGGACCAUAUCGACAUCAUUACGAAUAGAUAAGAUUCUAUUAAGAAUGAGUUGUCAUAUGGAAAAUAUGGAAGCGUGUCCAUAUUGGGAAUUGAAUAUUGAAAAUCUAUGUCUAGAUUAGAAACUUUUAUGCAAAAGGAUGUUCAAAGGAAUGUACUUUGAGUGAGAGACAUCAUAUCUAAGGAAUUGUCUUGUAACAAUCUCCGAUAGAGGACUUUGUAAUAUCAUUGGCAAUAGUCUUUGUGACUUUGGUGCAGUGACAUUACGAAAGGAUCGUUGCAUAGAAUGUUAGAAUCUAGCAUAUUCUAUAAGUAGCAAGAAUUUGAUAUUCUUUCACUUAUGAAAAAAGAUUUGGAGUUGUGAAAUGAGAAUGAUUGGAAAUGUGUUCAAUUUGAUCUAUUUCACAAAGUAAGAACCAUAGGUAAACAUUGUGUGCAUGCUAGGAGCAUGGGACAAGUGUAAUAAUUCAAGUAAGAAGUUGAUUACCCGAAACGACAAAUAAUGAGUAAUCGAUAUGGUGAUAAAUAAAAGGUGUUUUAUUUAUACUCAAAGGUUUGAGGCCAUAUGGGAUUAGUAUUAUUCUUGUGUUUCACAUUUGCAUGUUUUGACUUCCAGAAUAAUUGAGUUUAUUAAGAAUAAUCGAAUUAUUCGAACGGGCCACAGUCGUUCAUAUGUUGGAAGUAGAUAUGAAUGAAGACUGUCGUGAAUUGGUGUGUGGAUUGUCUAAAAGAGUAUUAGACAUAAGCAAAUGUUUGCUGCAACGUUCAUGAGUGCUUAUGAAUAUGAUUUGAGCAUUGGAUUAAACCCACGCUCACUUGGAUCACUCCAUGAAUUGUAUCACGAGUGAUUGGUGAGACGAUAACAUCUUAUAUUCUUGAAACCGAGAUGUGUGAGUUGUAUCUUGCAAAUCGGUUGCACAUUGAUAAUAUGUAAACGCACUAGUAACUUGGUGUUAUAAAACAUAUUGUUGUGUGUGAUUCGGUGAGUGAGUGCAAGCAAGCAUUGUAUCAAAGUUUAUCCGUUCCUUUUAUCCAAAGUAGGAUAAAAGCGAUAUCUUUGGGCCCCUCGAUGGUUUAGUGAUGACAAACGUAAAUGCUCGGCCGGGCUAGGGCUAAUUUGAUUUGUUCAAUUAGUCAGUCGUCAUAAAUCGGAAAUCGAGAUAUAGUACAAAGAGAAUGAUUUGAAAUCAUAUCUCAUAUGAUAUCUAGAAUGGAGGAAUAUAUGAUCCCUUAUCUAAGGACACGCGUAUCUGAUAGGAUCAGAGUUGACAGCGGCUUUGGAAAGCUACGAUUGCAGAUCAGGAUCUGAAGUCAUACGCAGAAUAGUUAUUAGACUUAUCCAAGUGGGAGACUGUUGGAUUAGUGUCUAAGUCCAUAACUAUUUUGGUAUGUACUUGACCCGAUGGUGCAUGGUCCUUUUGGGUUGCCUUCACCAAAGCAACUUGAUAGGAUGAAUUAUGGAGAGAAAGGAUUAAAUAUGAUUUAUUAAUAUAUUAUGGGAAUAAUAUAUUAAAGGAGAAAUCAUAUUGUUUAAUUAAUAUUAGUCAAUAAUUAAUUGGUAAUUAGUUUUGUGACUAAAAGAGAUUAAUUAAACUUAAGGGACUGGAGUUGUAAUUAUAAGAUAAUUGCAAUUUGGGCCAUGGAUUGUCUUGAAUCAAGGGGUGGACGAAUUCUAAUGGGAAACCCAUAAGGAAAUCGUCUAAGGGCUUGAUUAAAGGAGUCCAUGGUUUUCUUAGGGCUUAAGCAUCCAAAUUAGGGUUUCCUUGUUAGAUAACCCUAAUUGCCUCACUAUAUAUAGAUCCCUUAAGGACCAAAAAUGUGGACAAGCUUCUUGCUAGGGUUAGAACACGUUUUGGGCAGCCUCCAUCCUCUCUCCUCUUCAUCCUCUUGCUUAUGGUGUUUGUGAACCAUUAGAGGAGUGACACUUGUGACUCUAAGCCUUCCAAAGUCAAUUCAAGGAGGAAUUAGGAUUGUUAUUGCUACAUAACAAUCAAGGUAAUAUCCUAAACCUAAUUAUAUGUUAAUAUCGAUUUCCAUAUGCUAGAAUUAGGGUUUAUAGUCUUGGAUAACUUGCAUG
Molecule: long non-coding RNA, 8202 nt
Filed under: Lactuca sativa (garden lettuce)
Lineage: Eukaryota; Viridiplantae; Streptophyta; Magnoliopsida; Asterales; Asteraceae
Description: long non-coding RNA (LSAT_LNC000007)
Source: RNAcentral